RNAcentral lists this ribosomal RNA (509 nucleotides) under uncultured bacterium. RNAcentral's name for it is "partial 16S ribosomal RNA". The stretch from base 21 to 328 matches the Rfam family "Bacterial small subunit ribosomal RNA", at positions 48 to 357 of the family's 1533-position model. The record is from RNAcentral.
GACGAACGCUGGCGGCGUGCUUAACACAUGCAAGUCGAACGGAAAGGCCCUGCUUUUGUGGGGUGCUCGAGUGGCGAACGGGUGAGUAACACGUGAGUAACCUGCCCUUGACUUUGGGAUAACUUCAGGAAACUGGGGCUAAUACCGGAUAGGAGCUCCUGCUGCAUGGUGGGGGUUGGAAAGUUUCGGCGGUUGGGGAUGGACUCGCGGCUUAUCAGCUUGUUGGUGGGGUAGUGGCUUACCAAGGCUUUGACGGGUAGCCGGCCUGAGAGGGUGACCGGGGAGAGGUGGGCGGGGGUGCGGGCCAGGCGGGGAGGGGAGGCAGGGGUGGGAGAGAGUGCACAGGGGGGGGAAGUGGGAGGCAGCAGCGGCGGGCGGGAGAUGGCGGCGUGCGGGUUGUAAACCGCUUGCGGGUGUGGGGGGGGGGGGGCGAGGGUAAGGGGAAAAGAAGCACCGGCUAAAGACGUGCCAGCGGCGGAAGGAAUAAUCGGAAGAACUAGUGUCUGAGC